CCUACGGGAGGCAGCAGUGAGGAAUAUUGGUCAAUGGACGAAAGGCUGAACCAGCCAAGUAGCGUGAAGGAUGACUGCUCUAUGGGUUGUAAACUUCUUUUAUAUGGGAAUAAAACAGGGUAUGCAUACCCUCUUGUAUGUACCCUAUGAAUAAGGAUCGGCUAACUCCGUGCCAGCAGCCGCGGUAAUACGGAGGAUCCGAGCGUUAUCCGGAUUUAUUGGGUUUAAAGGGAGCGUAGAUUGGUUUUUAAGUCAGCUGUGAAAGUUUGCGGCUCAACCGUAAAAUUGCAAUUGAUACUGGAAGUCUUGAGUAUAUUUGAGGUAGGCGGAAUUCGUGGUGUAGCGGUGAAAUGCUUAGAUAUCACGAAGAACUCCGAUUGCGAAGGCAGCUUACUAAAC
RNAcentral lists this ribosomal RNA (399 nucleotides) under uncultured bacterium. RNAcentral's name for it is "partial 16S ribosomal RNA". It matches the Rfam family "Bacterial small subunit ribosomal RNA", at positions 338 to 734 of the family's 1533-position model. The record is from RNAcentral.